AGAGUUUGAUCCUGGCUCAGGAUAAACGCUAGCGGCAGGCCUAACACAUGCAAGUCGAACGGUAACAGAAGGAGCUUGCUCUUUGCUGACGAGUGGCGCACGGGUGCGUAACGCGUAUGUAACCUACCCAUAACUGGGGGAUAGCUCAGAGAAAUCUGAAUUAAUACCCCAUAAUAAUUAUUUUUCGCAUGAUUGAUAAUUUAAAGCUUCGGUGGUUAUGGAUGGACAUGCGUGACAUUAGCUAGUUGGUGAGGUAAUAGCUUACCAAGGCUACGAUGUCUAGGGGGUCUGAGAGGAUGAUCCCCCACACUGGUACUGAGACACGGACCAGACUCCUACGGGAGGCAGCAGUGAGGAAUAUUGGUCAAUGGACGAAAGUCUGAACCAGCCAUGCCGCGUGCAGGAUGACGGCCCUACGGGUUGUAAACUGCUUUUAUUUAGGAAGAAACCUUCUCACGUGUGAGAAGCUGACGGUACCAAACGAAUAAGCAUCGGCUAACUCCGUGCCAGCAGCCGCGGUAAUACGGAGGAUGCGAGCGUUAUCCGGAUUUAUUGGGUUUAAAGGGUACGUAGGCGGAAUAAUAAGUCAGUGGUGAAAUCUUGCAGCUUAACUGUAAAACUGCCAUUGAUACUGUUGUUCUUGAGUAUAGUUGGAGUAGAUGGAAUGUGUUGUGUAGCGGUGAAAUGCAUUGAUAUAACACAGAACACCAAUCGCGAAAGCAGUCUACUAAGCUAUUACUGACGCUGAGGUACGAAAGCAUGGGGAGCGAACAGGAUUAGAUACCCUGGUAGUCCAUGCCGUAAGCGAUGAUUACUCGAUAUUGGCAUUUAUGUCAGUGUCCAAGCGAAAGUAUUAAGUAAUCCACCUGGGGAGUACGAUCGCAAGGUUGAAACUCAAAGGAAUUGACGGGGGCCCGCACAAGCGGUGGAGCAUGUGGUUUAAUUCGAUGAUACGCGAGGAACCUUACCAAGGCUUAAAUGCAGAACGACAGGUCUGGAAACAGAUUUUUCUUCGGACGGUCUGCAAGGUGCUGCAUGGUUGUCGUCAGCUCGUGCCGUGAGGUGUCGGGUUAAGUCCCAUAACGAGCGCAACCCCUAUCCUUUAGUUGCUAGCAGGUAAUGCUGAGGACUCUAAGGAAACUGCCCGCGUAAGCGGUGAGGAAGGUGGGGAUGACGUCAAAUCAUCACGGCCCUUACGUCUUGGGCUACACACGUGCUACAAUGGCAGGUACAAAGGGCAGCUACAUGGUAACAUGAUGCUAAUCUCUAAAACCUGUCUCAGUUCGGAUUGAGGUCUGCAACUCGACCUCAUGAAGCUGGAAUCGCUAGUAAUCGAAUAUCAGCCAUGAUUCGGUGAAUACGUUCCCGGGCCUUGUACACACCGCCCGUCAAACAAUGGAAGCUGGGGGCACCUGAAGUCGGUAACCGUAAGGAGCUGCCUAGGGUGAAACUAGUAACUGGUGUUAAGUCGUAACAAGGUA
RNAcentral lists this ribosomal RNA (1481 nucleotides) under metagenome. RNAcentral describes it as "bacterial SSU rRNA". It matches the Rfam family "Bacterial small subunit ribosomal RNA". The record is from RNAcentral.